RNAcentral lists this long non-coding RNA (515 nucleotides) under Ananas comosus (pineapple). RNAcentral's name for it is "long non-coding RNA (ACOM_LNC035988)". The record is from RNAcentral. Lineage: Eukaryota; Viridiplantae; Streptophyta; Magnoliopsida; Poales; Bromeliaceae.
CUCGUUAAAGUAUCGAGCCAAAAAAUUUAGCUUGUGUUCUGCUCGUUAAUAAACAAGCUGAACACGAGCUGGCUCACGAGCUGGCCAACGAACAAUAAGCUAAAAGGAUUAGAUUGAAUAUAUAUAAAAAAUAAAUUUAUAAAAUCUUAUCCAUUAGAUUUUGAUCUAAUAGUUAAAACUUUGCAUAUAAAUGAGUUUUUUUUAUAAUUAAGCUCGCAUUUAUAUUUUUAUUUUUGCUAAAAAUUAAAUAAUAAAAAUAUAUAUUAUAUAUAUAAUUAAUUAUUUAUAUAUAUAUAAAUAUAAAUUAAAUAAAUUAUAUAAAUAUAAAAUAUAUGUAUUCGAGCUGUUAUCCCCAGCUCGUGUUCGGCUCGUUUGAUAAACGAGUCGAAAAAUUUGGCUCGUAUUUGGUUCGUUUAUUAAACGAGCGAUUCGAUCUCGAGCUCAUUUUGAGCCGAACACGAGUUAGCUCGCGAACAGCGAACUGAAUUGCCACCCCUAGAUUCGAUGACCGAUCG